AGGACGAACGCUGGCGGCGUGCUUAACACAUGCAAGUCGAGCGGAAAGGCCCUUCGGGGUACUCGAGCGGCGAACGGGUGAGUAACACGUGAGUAAUCUGCCCCUAGCUCUGGGAUAGCUCCGGGAAAACCGGGAUUAAUACCAGAUACGACCACUUUAGACAUCUGUUGUGGUGGAAAGAAUUUUGGCUAGGGAUGAGCUCGCGGCCUAUCAGCUUGUUGGUGAGGUAACGGCUCACCAAGGCGACGACGGGUAGCCGGCCUGAGAGGGCGACCGGCCACACUGGGACUGAGACACGGCCCAGACUCCUACGGGAGGCAGCAGUGGGGAAUAUUGCGCAAUGGGCGAAAGCCUGACGCAGCGACGCCGCGUGGGGGAUGAAGGCCUUCGGGUUGUAAACCCUUUCAGCAGGGACGAAGCGAAGUGACGGUACCUGCAGAAGAAGCGCCGGCUACUACGCGCCAGCAGCGC
RNAcentral lists this ribosomal RNA (471 nucleotides) under uncultured bacterium. Its description in RNAcentral is "SSU rRNA". It matches the Rfam family "Bacterial small subunit ribosomal RNA", at positions 26 to 518 of the family's 1533-position model. The record is from RNAcentral.